CGAUGCGGCGUGCUAUAAUGCAGUCGAGCGAACUGAUUAGAAGCUUGCUUCUAUGACGUUAGCGGCGGACGGGUGAGUAACACGUGGGCAACCUGCCUGUAAGACUGGGAUAACUUCGGGAAACCGAAGCUAAUACCGGAUAGGAUCUUCUCCUUCAUGGGAGAUGAUUGAAAGAUGGUUUCGGCUAUCACUUACAGAUGGGCCCGCGGUGCAUUAGCUAGUUGGUGAGGUAACGGCUCACCAAGGCAACGAUGCAUAGCCGACCUGAGAGGGUGAUCGGCCACACUGGGACUGAGACACGGCCCAGACUCCUACGGGAGGCAGCAGUAGGGAAUCUUCCGCAAUGGACGAAAGUCUGACGGAGCAACGCCGCGUGAGUGAUGAAGGCUUUCGGGUCGUAAAACUCUGUUGUUAGGGAAGAACAAGUACGAGAGUAACUGCUCGUACCUUGACGGUACCUAACCAGAAAGCCACGGCUAACUACGUGCCAGCAGCCGCGGUAAUACGUAGGUGGCAAGCGUUAUCCGGAAUUAUUGGGCGUAAAGCGCGCGCAGGCGGUUUCUUAAGUCUGAUGUGAAAGCCCACGGCUCAACCGUGGAGGGUCAUUGGAAACUGGGGAACUUGAGUGCAGAAGAGAAAAGCGGAAUUCCACGUGUAGCGGUGAAAUGCGUAGAGAUGUGGAGGAACACCAGUGGCGAAGGCGGCUUUUUGGUCUGUAACUGACGCUGAGGCGCGAAAGCGUGGGGAGCAAACAGGAUUAGAUACCCUGGUAGUCCACGCCGUAAACGAUGAGUGCUAAGUGUUAGAGGGUUUCCGCCCUUUAGUGCUGCAGCUAACGCAUUAAGCACUCCGCCUGGGGAGUACGGUCGCAAGACUGAAACUCAAAGGAAUUGACGGGGGCCCGCACAAGCGGUGAGGCAUGGUGGUUUAAUUCGAAGCAACGCGAAGAACCUUACCAGGUCUUGACAUCCUCUGACACUCUAGAGAUAGAGCGUUCCCCUUCGGGGGACAGAGUGACAAGGUGGUGGCAUGGUUGUCGUCAGCUCGUGUCGUGAAGAUGUUUGGAUAAGUCCCGCAACGAGCGCACCCUUGAUCUAGUUGCCAGCAUUUAGUUGGGCACUUCUAAG
Molecule: ribosomal RNA, 1127 nt
Filed under: Bacillus sp. I-S1-20
Lineage: Bacteria; Bacillati; Bacillota; Bacilli; Caryophanales; Bacillaceae
Description: bacterial SSU rRNA
Rfam family: Bacterial small subunit ribosomal RNA
Source: RNAcentral